AUUGAACGCUAGCGGGAUGCCUUACACAUGCAAGUCGAACGGCAGCGGGAAGUAGCUUGCUACUUUGCCGGCGAGUGGCGAACGGGUGAGUAAUGUAUCGGAACGUGCCCAGUAGCGGGGGGAUAACUACGCGAAAGCGUGGCUAAUACCGCAUACGCCUACGGGGAAGGGGGGUACGUCUUCGGAGCCUCUCACUAUUGGAGCGGCCGAUAUCGGAUUAGCUAGUUGGUGGGUAAAGG
Molecule: ribosomal RNA, 239 nt
Filed under: uncultured bacterium
Lineage: Bacteria
Description: partial 16S ribosomal RNA
Rfam family: Bacterial small subunit ribosomal RNA
Source: RNAcentral